RNAcentral lists this ribosomal RNA (412 nucleotides) under uncultured Lactobacillus sp. RNAcentral describes it as "bacterial SSU rRNA". It matches the Rfam family "Bacterial small subunit ribosomal RNA", at positions 133 to 524 of the family's 1533-position model. The record is from RNAcentral. Lineage: Bacteria; Bacillati; Bacillota; Bacilli; Lactobacillales; Lactobacillaceae.
GAGAUCCGGGAUAACACCUGGGAAACAGAUGCUAAUACCGGAUAAUAACAGAUGAUGCCUAUCAACUGUUUAAAAGAUGGUUCUGCUAUCACUCUUGGGAUGGACCUGCGGUGCAUUAGCUAGUUGGUAGGUAAUGGGCCUACCAAGGCGAUGAUGCAUAGCCCGAGUUGAGAGACUGAUCGGGCCACAUUGGGGACUGAGACACGGGCCCAAAACUCCUACGGGGAGGCAGCAGUAGGGAAUCUUCCACAAUGGACGCAAGUCUGAUGGAGCAACGCCGCGUGAGUGAAGAAGGGUUUCGGCUCGUAAAAGCUCUGUUGUUGGUGAAGAAGGACAGGGGUAGUAACUGACCUUUGUUUGACGGUAAUCAAUUAGAAGUCACGGCUAACUACGUGCCAGCAGCCGCGGUAAU